Molecule: ribosomal RNA, 253 nt
Filed under: uncultured bacterium
Lineage: Bacteria
Description: partial 16S ribosomal RNA
Rfam family: Bacterial small subunit ribosomal RNA
Source: RNAcentral
UACAGAGGUGGCAAGCGUUGUUCGGAAUUACUGGGCGUAAAGGGCGCGUAGGCGGCCGGCCAAGUCCCGGGUGAAAGCCCCCGGCUCAACCGGGGAACGGCGCGGGAAACUAGCAGGCUUGAGUUCGGGAGAGGGAAGCGGAAUUCCGGGUGUAGCGGUGAAAUGCGCAGAUAUCCGGAGGAACACCGGUGGCGAAGGCGGCCUCCUGGACCGACACUGACGCUGAGGCGCGAAAGCUAGGGGAGCAAACGGG